GGCUAGCUCAAUCGGUAGAGCGUGAGACUCUUAAUCUCAAGGUUGUGGGUUCGACCCGUAAGCGCACCU
RNAcentral lists this transfer RNA (69 nucleotides) under Colletotrichum spaethianum. RNAcentral describes it as "tRNA-Lys". The stretch from base 4 to 59 matches the Rfam family "tRNA", at positions 8 to 63 of the family's 71-position model. From Rfam's summary of the family: Transfer RNA (tRNA) molecules are approximately 80 nucleotides in length. Their secondary structure includes four short double-helical elements and three loops (D, anti-codon, and T loops). Further hydrogen bonds mediate the characteristic L-shaped molecular structure. tRNAs have two regions of fundamental functional importance: the anti-codon, which is responsible for specific mRNA codon recognition, and the 3' end, to which the tRNAs corresponding amino acid is attached (by aminoacyl-tRNA synthetases). tRNAs cope with the degeneracy of the genetic code in two manners: having more than one tRNA (with a specific anti-codon) for a particular amino acid; and 'wobble' base-pairing, i.e. permitting non-standard base-pairing at the 3rd anti-codon position. The record is from RNAcentral. Lineage: Eukaryota; Fungi; Ascomycota; Sordariomycetes; Glomerellales; Glomerellaceae.